Molecule: long non-coding RNA, 290 nt
Organism: Rhinichthys klamathensis goyatoka
Lineage: Eukaryota; Metazoa; Chordata; Actinopteri; Cypriniformes; Leuciscidae
Exons: 3
Source: RefSeq, a predicted model, not a curated record
UUUUCCCACGAGAGAAAAAUUAUGUGUUGACCCCAGUGUGCGUCAUAAACAGUAUCAGCUGGCCUUCCAUGGUGGAAAAUGAUGAAGACAACGAUGACGAAUGCUCUUUGGAGGAUAAGAGCCGGAUUGCUGGCUACCUUCGUCAAUUCAUUGAAAGUGCCUCCAGUCAUGAGCUGAAGGCCCUCGUUAAGUUCUGGGUCGGUUGGGAGGUUCCCACUACUUCCCUCAAACUGGAAGUAACCAACUGUAAGCUACCUAAGGCAUCCACAUGCUUUGAGACCCUACGGCUU